Marmota monax (woodchuck) is the source of this 2443-nucleotide long non-coding RNA. RefSeq lists it as uncharacterized. The transcript has 5 exons. NCBI's taxonomy places the organism in Eukaryota, Metazoa, Chordata, Mammalia, Rodentia, Sciuridae. The record is from RefSeq and is a predicted model, not a curated record.
UGAUAUAUUCAUUCCACUAAAUGCGCUGAGUGUCCACGCUGUACUCAGGGAAUCCGGGAGCCCCCAUGAGAUUGCUUCUGGCUCCAAGGGGAAGCUCCCCAUCAGAAGAAUCAGGAUGCUCCCCAGAUGAUUCUAAUUUGUGACUAAGUUAUGAAACACUGGAAAGAGAGUUGCUGAUGUCAAACAAAGGGCAGCUAUAUUCCUCUCCUAUACCUUCGCCACAAAGGAAGAUUGCUUCUGGUCCCCUACCAUGACCCUGAUCUUUUCCUUGAGCACGCAAUCAAGGCCUAGAAGAACAGUCAGGAGCCAUGUUCCUGUCUACCAAGUCCUUAUAGAAGCAGAACUUCAGUUGUAUCUUUAAAAAACACCUGAGAGACUAAAAUUUUACAAAUUUGCUCUUCACAUUUAGGAAUAUGAAAACACUCAAAUAUCAUGAGUACCAUAGUAUCAGAUGGAUGCAAACAGCCACUGUGAUGGGGCAAGUCAUAUGUGUGAGAUGGCAGAAGCUCCAUCAGCCUGGGUCCCUAAUGGCCAUGUACAUCAGAGCUCAUGCGCUCCUACUUCCCCAACCUGGAACCAACUUGGAUUAUUUCAUGAAUAAGAAAUCAACUUUUUGAUAUGUUUUAGCUAUUAUUACCUAUUGAGAUCAAAAUGUCACAGCAAAUAGUCAACCUUAAUAUCCUUUCCUUUCUUUCUCUUGUCCCGUCAUCUUGUCAACAAGCUCUGAUAGGAGAUUUUUAUCAGGCUUGUCAGUUAUCUGUAGGCCAUUCAUAAGACAUACUCUUCUAAACCCUUGCCAUUCAUUCAUGUGCUGGAGAAGAUAAGAAACUAAAACUCAGUUGAGAGUCAGGAAAACAUUUUUUAAGUGUUAUAGAGGCUUCAUCUGAUGUAUUGGCUUCAGUUAUUAGUGCUGCUUGUAGUGCUGUGUUGGGAAAUUAUUUGAGGCAGUGUGGAGGCUAAUAGAAAAGAACAUUGUGAUUAAUUAGCAAUAACUGUCACGGGCAAGUGAGGUAAGAACAAUGGCAUGCAUUCAAAGACUUAAGUCAUUCCUGGGACUGAAGCCAACCCUUUGGAUGUGCACAGUGGGCUGUUCCUCAAAAUACAACCCAGAUUUGUAAGUCCCAUGUAAGAAGCUCUGAUCAUUAAGGCAACAUCCCUGCCAUGGCUCUUACUUAUAUAAAUUGGUGUGAUUUCUCAAAAGCCUUGAAAAGCUUAUGGAAAAAAAAUGUAGAUUUCCCUUUGCCUAAAUUCUGCUUGUUUAGUUUAGAGAUCAGGUAUGUUUCAGGACUCAAAAGUUCUAUUAAAACAGUUUUGAAGAAACCUGCACUGCUGCCACCUAAGCAGUCUGGAUAAGCAGAUUAUUCUAUUCUCUAGGAUUGAGACCUGGUGCCUUUAAAUCUAAAACAAAUUAACUUUCUGUCUGGCUUAUAGACUGGCUUGAAAAAUAGAAAGACACAAAGAAUAUUCCCCUGAUAUAGGUGGUUAAGAAGACCCCCUCCUCUGCUGUGGAAACUAGAGCUUACUCACAGUGGCUCUCAAAUUCUUGGGUUUCUUUUUGUUUUUUAUUGGUUGUUCAAAACAUUACAAUGCUCUUGACAUAUCAUAUUUCAUACAUUUGAUUCAAGUGGGUUAUGAACUCCCAUUUUUACUACGUAUAUUCUUGGGUUUCUUUAGCUACACAUACUUACUGUUCUUUUAGAUGACAAAAUGCUGCAGUUCAGACACGCACAUCUGAGUACAACUUGUACUAUAUGCAAACAAAAUCUCAGCCUAACCUCUUUAACAAAAGCAUUAGAGAUUUUCUAUGUUCGUAGGAAAUGGGAAAGUGUAAUUCCAUUUUAAUGCAAAAUAAAAUCAAUGAGUUAAGUCAAGAAAUUCAGGUCAUUUCUAAUUGUGAAGAAACAGACUUAUCUCAGUUAAUAGAUAUUCUGAAAAAACAAAAACAAACAAAACACAGCUGAUCUAGAGUCUUUAAAAAAAGGAUCAACGUCACAAAAGGAUUAAAAAAAAUACUAAAAUACUGUUAACAUGGUGAAUUACCUUAGAUCAAAAGAGACCAAAGAACACAACUAAAUGCAAUGUGCCUCUCGAAUCAAACAGAACACACAAAAACAAAAUUGGUAUGUUUAGGCCCAUUGGAGAAAUUUGAAUAUAAAAUUUUAUAUUACAAAAUAGGACCCUAUCAAGGUUAAAUUUCUUAAGUGUGAUAACUGUAGAAGGAUGUCCUUGUUCUUUGAACACAGGUGCUGUAGGAUUUAAGCCCUUGGUGUCAAAGUGUCUGCAUUUUUCUCAGAUGUUUCAUACAGAGAGGUAAAGCUAAUAUGGCAAGAGUGGGUGCAGCUAGGUGAAGGGGAGAUAAGCACUUACUAUUCCAGUCUUAUAAAUUUUCUAUAAGUUUGAAUAUUUUUAAAUAAAGAGUUGAUAAAAAUAAAUAAAAUGACAA